This is a long non-coding RNA of Rhea pennata, 1062 nucleotides long. RefSeq lists it as uncharacterized. NCBI's taxonomy places the organism in Eukaryota, Metazoa, Chordata, Aves, Rheiformes, Rheidae. The record is from RefSeq and is a predicted model, not a curated record. The transcript has 2 exons.
AGGGGGAUUAUUGAGCAGGAGGGGAGGGAGAGCAGCAGGUUUCAAGUCACAUCAGUAAACGUCGUGGAAAAAUGUCGCGGGAGCCUUGUGGUCCUCUCUCUCCGCAUGACCACAGCUUAGCCCCUGCCCUGUGGUGGCUGACUUACUCCUGAAUUGCCUGGGGUAUGCGUAUCUUCGGGGAAAACAGCCACCUCCAUCCAUCAGUUCCUCAUGGCGUCCGUCAUUCCUUGGCUUUCUGCUUGCUUCACCCUCUCCAUCUGUCCUCUCUUCUUGGUGGCUGGCCCUCCCUGGGCGGAUGUGCUUUUGGCCACUGCAUCCCCGGUGAUGCUCGGCAGCGAGGCUGGACCAGCGUCGGAGCCCGGGACCAUGUCAGUCCCCGAAGGCACGCGUCCCCUGCACCUGCCACCCACGGCAGAGUGAGGGCACUGGUCCUUCCUGGCAGUGAGGAAGGGGGGACAAAGGGGAGCAGGCUGCUUUUGGGUGGCAUCGGUUUGGCGAAGAAAGCUGUUUCAAAAGAGGGCAGUUCUGUUGGGUUUGUCCUCAGAAAGGAGUUAAGCAGAAAAGACGAUGUGUAGUCAUAAGACCUGAGCAUUCCUACUGCAGAUGCCAUGUUGAACUAGAGCAUCUUGAAAUCUCAUUCACUCAGGAGGUCACCCCACAACUGCUCCGUCCCGUGCUGGGGAGCUGAGGUCUGUUUUGAAGGGGGCUACUGGGCUCCGCUGCCGAAGUGUCACUGCAGCGAUCUCCCUGAAGACACCUUCACCCAGUGAGAGUGGUUGGGGCGUCUUUCUAAUCUGGACUGGUAUUGGGCUAUUCCCAGGAGCUGGAUUUAGCCCGAUGCUGUCUGUGGCACGGCCGUGUGAUCCCAGGAGCACUAUCCUCCUCCCCAGCAUAGCCGGAGUCUCACUUUGUCACACCUGUGUCUCCUCUCUCGAACCUUCCAGUGGAAACGGUCCAGAUCGCCAGCGCCGCUCUUCCCUCCCUCCCUCCUUCCUUCGCUCAGGCUCCGUACUCUGCCUCAAAGUCUCAGGCAGGUGUUCAAAUAAAUAAUGCAGCUAAAAA